This 301-nucleotide ribosomal RNA is filed under the name uncultured bacterium. RNAcentral's name for it is "partial 16S ribosomal RNA". It matches the Rfam family "Bacterial small subunit ribosomal RNA", at positions 509 to 807 of the family's 1533-position model. The record is from RNAcentral.
CAGCCGCCGCGGUAAUACAGAGGGUGCAAGCGUUAAUCGGAAUUACUGGGCGUAAAGCGCGCGUAGGUGGUUUGUUAAGUUGGAUGUGAAAUCCCCGGGCUCAACCUGGGAACUGCAUCCAAAACUGGCAAGCUAGAGUAUGGUAGAGGGUGGUGGAAUUUCCUGUGUAGCGGUGAAAUGCGUAGAUAUAGGAAGGAACACCAGUGGCGAAGGCGACCACCUGGACUGAUACUGACACUGAGGUGCGAAAGCGUGGGGAGCAAACAGGAUUAGAGACCCCAGUAGUCCCUGUCUCUUAUAC